This is a long non-coding RNA of Ornithodoros turicata, 768 nucleotides long. RefSeq lists it as uncharacterized. NCBI's taxonomy places the organism in Eukaryota, Metazoa, Arthropoda, Arachnida, Ixodida, Argasidae. The transcript is spliced from 5 exons. The record is from RefSeq and is a predicted model, not a curated record.
GCAGAACGCUAGCUACUGAGCUACUAAGGUUGUCACCAUGUCAUUUUGCAUUUUCACCUAAUCGGUUAGUUUUCCGAAACUUCUAUGGUUCGUUAAUGGCGUGCAAGAUGAGAUCGAAGCACGAGCUGGAAGAAGUUGAAGAAACUUCAUUCUACACGAGCAGCGCGAAGUUAGGCAUAUCCUGAACAACAGCGUCGUUGCUCUUCCUUCCAUUUGCAAUCAGAGUCAAGGCGACAACCUUCAAUAAUAUGGAACAGAACUUCUCAGCGGAUGCUAUGAGCUCAGCAGGCGACAUAGAAGAAAGCAUGAGUCUAAGUUAUCCUCUGAUGCCAACGGAGGAAAUAAUUGUGGAAGGGGACGAGUAAGUAUGAUAUUCCCCUUUCGAGUAACCCAAGGCUGAAGCACAACCGAUUUUUGUGCUCUACCAACUAUGGUGAAACCUCGAGUUCGUUGUGCUGCACGCUGUCAACCACAUUCUGCGUCGCAUUUAUCGUUUCUUUCAUUGUGGCAUUUGUGAUGUUGAGCCAGCAGUCCAGUAUGGGCAGCACUAGUACGGUGUACAGUAAACCUGGAAACGGUGCACCCGACAGAGGCUCGCCCGGGCAGAAGCCUAGCACUAGGCAUGCAUCAUCGACGCAGACUCCGAAAAGAGAAACGACCAAUGCGAUCCCGACUCCGACCACCAGCUCUGCAUCUUUGACACUCAGUCCUCCAACUGCCAUACCAGCUGCUGGGUCGACUAGCAGUCUGAGCAUCCCGACGACGUUG